AUGGGAAGUACAAAAAUUACUUCUAGUGAGAGUUCAUUUAAAUCUACAGGGUCCAGUCCCAUAUAUCUUUUAACCAGGUUCAUGGUGAAGCCCAGGGUGCUCGUCGGCUAUCACAAGAAGCAGACCAUCGAGAAGGAGCUGGGCGACAUGGUGCAGCGGAGCUCGUUGACGAUGAAGGAUGUGAAGCUUCACCACCAUUCACAACUCCAGUAUGGUCCAGUUCGUCAUGAGGAUCUGGAGCUUCAACUUUUUCACUUCAUCUUUCAUAUGCUUUUUAGUACAUCUACUUCCUCAUCAUGGAAGAAGGAAAUCAGUCCAACAGGCGCAUCUAAAGUGACAUGUCGUGCACCGCCCACUUGUCCUCAAGCUGCUCGUCGUGUCAUGCCGGCUUGCCAUCAACCACAGUUGUGGCUCAACCCCCACGGUGCUUCCCCUCUAUUGUUGCCCUCACCAUGCUCUCCUGCGUAUUGGCGGCCUCGAUGA
This 483-nucleotide ribosomal RNA is filed under the name Triticum aestivum (bread wheat). RNAcentral's name for it is "partial small subunit ribosomal RNA". Lineage: Eukaryota; Viridiplantae; Streptophyta; Magnoliopsida; Poales; Poaceae. The record is from RNAcentral.